RNAcentral lists this transfer RNA (61 nucleotides) under Mesocricetus auratus (golden hamster). It matches the Rfam family "tRNA", at positions 6 to 65 of the family's 71-position model. From Rfam's summary of the family: Transfer RNA (tRNA) molecules are approximately 80 nucleotides in length. Their secondary structure includes four short double-helical elements and three loops (D, anti-codon, and T loops). Further hydrogen bonds mediate the characteristic L-shaped molecular structure. tRNAs have two regions of fundamental functional importance: the anti-codon, which is responsible for specific mRNA codon recognition, and the 3' end, to which the tRNAs corresponding amino acid is attached (by aminoacyl-tRNA synthetases). tRNAs cope with the degeneracy of the genetic code in two manners: having more than one tRNA (with a specific anti-codon) for a particular amino acid; and 'wobble' base-pairing, i.e. permitting non-standard base-pairing at the 3rd anti-codon position. The record is from Rfam by way of RNAcentral. Lineage: Eukaryota; Metazoa; Chordata; Mammalia; Rodentia; Cricetidae.
UGUAGCUCAAUGGUAGAGUGCUUGUCUGGCAUGCAUAAGGCUCUGGGUUGAAUUCCUAGCA